ACAUAGGGUGCAAGCGUUAAUCGGAAUUACUGGGCGUAAAGGGUGCGCAGGCGGUCUUAUAAGUCAGAUGUGAAAUCCCCGAGCUCAACUUGGGAACUGCGUUUGAAACUAUAAGACUAGAGUGUGUCAGAGGGGGGUAGAAUUCCAUGUGUAGCAGUGAAAUGCGUAGAUAUGUGGAGGAAUACCAAUGGCGAAGGCAGCCCCCUGGGAUAACACUGACGCUCAUGCACGAAAGCGUGGGGAGCAAACAGG
Molecule: ribosomal RNA, 252 nt
Filed under: uncultured bacterium
Lineage: Bacteria
Description: partial 16S ribosomal RNA
Rfam family: Bacterial small subunit ribosomal RNA
Source: RNAcentral